RNAcentral lists this ribosomal RNA (440 nucleotides) under uncultured bacterium. RNAcentral describes it as "partial 16S ribosomal RNA". It matches the Rfam family "Bacterial small subunit ribosomal RNA", at positions 338 to 795 of the family's 1533-position model. The record is from RNAcentral.
CCUACGGGUGGCAGCAGUGAGGAAUAUUGGUCAAUGGGCGAGAGCCUGAACCAGCAACGCCGCGUGGAGGAUGAAGGUUUUAGGAUUGUAAACUCCUUUUGUUAGAGAAGAUUAUGACGGUAUCUAACGAAUAAGCACCGGCUAACUCCGUGCCAGCAGCCGCGGUAAUACGGAGGGUGCAAGCGUUACACGGAAUCACUGGGCGUAAAGAGUGCGUAGGCGGGGUAAUAAGUCAGAUGUGAAAUCCUGUAGCUUAACUACAGAACUGCAUUUGAAACUGUUACUCUGGAGUGUUGGAGAGGUAGGUGGAAUUCUUGGUGUAGGGGUAAAAUCCGUAGAGAUCGAGAGGAAUACUCAUUGCGAAGGCGACCUGCUGGAACAUUACUGACGCUGAUGCACGAAGGCGUGGGGAGCGAACAGGAUUAGAUACCCGUGUAGUC